GGGGGUGUAGUUUAAUUUCAAAAUGGCCUUCGGGCAGAUGAAGGUGUAAAUCCUUCCACCUCCACCA
This 67-nucleotide transfer RNA is filed under the name candidate division WWE3 bacterium. RNAcentral's name for it is "tRNA-OTHER". It matches the Rfam family "tRNA". From Rfam's summary of the family: Transfer RNA (tRNA) molecules are approximately 80 nucleotides in length. Their secondary structure includes four short double-helical elements and three loops (D, anti-codon, and T loops). Lineage: Bacteria; candidate division WWE3. The record is from RNAcentral.